UAACAAGGAUUCCCCUAGUAACUGCGAGUGAAGCGGGAAAAGCUCAAAUUUAAAAUCUGGCGGUCUUUGGCUGUCCGAGUUGUAAUCUAGAGAAGUGUUAUCCGCGCUGGACCGUGUACAAGUCUCCUGGAAUGGAGCGUCAUAGAGGGUGAGAAUCCCGUCUUUGACACGGACUGCCAGGGCUUUGUGAUGCGCUCUCAAAGAGUCGAGUUGUUUGGGAAUGCAGCUCAAAAUGGGUGGUAAAUUCCAUCUAAAGCUAAAUAUUGGCGAGAGACCGAUAGCGAACAAGUACCGUGAGGGAAAGAUGAAAAGAACUUUGGAAAGAGAGUUAAACAGUACGUGAAAUUGCUGAAAGGGAAACGCUUGAAGUCAGUCGCAUUGUGUGGGAAUCAACCUUGCUUUUGCUGGGUGUAUUUUCCAUAUGAUGGGUCAGCAUCAAUUUUGACCGUUGGAUAAAGUUCAAGGGAAUGUGGCAUCUUCGGAUGUGUUAUAGCCCUUGGUCGUAUACAACGAUUGGGAUUGAGGAACUCAGCACGCCGAAAGGCCGGGUCUUGUACCACGUUCGUGCUUAGGAUGCUGGCAUAAUGGCUUUAAUCGACCCGUCUUGAAACA
RNAcentral lists this ribosomal RNA (612 nucleotides) under Hypholoma subviride. RNAcentral's name for it is "eukaryotic LSU rRNA". It matches the Rfam family "Eukaryotic large subunit ribosomal RNA", at positions 66 to 661 of the family's 3401-position model. The record is from RNAcentral. Lineage: Eukaryota; Fungi; Basidiomycota; Agaricomycetes; Agaricales; Strophariaceae.